ACGACGCUGGCGGCGUGCUUAACACAUGCAAGUCGAACGGUGACGAGGAGCUUGCUCCUCCGAUCAGUGGCGAACGGGUGAGUAACACGUGAGUAACCUGCCCCAGACUCUGGGAUAACAGUUGGAAACAGCUGCUAAUACCGGAUACGAGACGGAGAGGCAUCUCUACCGUCUGGAAAGUUUUUCGGUCUGGGAUGGACUCGGCGGCCUAUCAGCUUGUUGGUGAGGUAAUGGCUCACCAAGGCGACGACGGGUAGCCGGCCUGAGAGGGCGACCGGCCACACUGGGACUGAGACACGGCCCAGACUCCUACGGGAGGCAGCAGUGGGGAAUAUUGCACAAUGGGCGAAAGCCUGAUGCAGCGACGCCGCGUGAGGGAUGACGGCCUUCGGGUUGUAAACCUCUUCAGCAGGGAAGAAGCGAAAGUGACGGUACCUGCAGAAGAAGCACCGGCUAACUACGUG
This 464-nucleotide ribosomal RNA is filed under the name uncultured bacterium. Its description in RNAcentral is "bacterial SSU rRNA". It matches the Rfam family "Bacterial small subunit ribosomal RNA", at positions 33 to 507 of the family's 1533-position model. The record is from RNAcentral.